RNAcentral lists this ribosomal RNA (253 nucleotides) under uncultured bacterium. Its description in RNAcentral is "partial 16S ribosomal RNA". It matches the Rfam family "Bacterial small subunit ribosomal RNA", at positions 524 to 776 of the family's 1533-position model. The record is from RNAcentral.
UACGUAGGGGGCAAGCGUUGUCCGGAUUUAUUGGGCGUAAAGAGCGUGUAGGCGGCUUUACAGGUCCGUUGUGAAAACUCGAGGCUCAACCUCGAGCUGUCGGCGGAAACCAUCUGGCUAGAGUCCGGAAGAGGAGAGUGGAAUUCCUGGUGUAGCGGUGAAAUGCGCAGAUAUCAGGAAGAACACCUAUGGCGAAGGCAGCUCUCUGGGACGGUACUGACGCUGAGACGCGAAAGCGUGGGGAGCGAACAGG